RNAcentral lists this ribosomal RNA (372 nucleotides) under uncultured organism. RNAcentral's name for it is "bacterial SSU rRNA". It matches the Rfam family "Bacterial small subunit ribosomal RNA", at positions 526 to 896 of the family's 1533-position model. The record is from RNAcentral.
CGUAGGGUCCAAGCAUUAUCCGGAAUUACUGGGCGUAAAGAGUACGUAGGUGUUCCAUUAAGUCGGUCGUUAAAUCCCACCGCUCAACGGUGGGGCUGCGAGCGAUACUAAUGGAAUUGAGUGUCACAGGGGCAAGCAGAAUUCUUGGAGUAGGGGUGAAAUCCGUUGAUACCAAGAGGAAUACCAAUGGCGAAGGCAGCUUGCUAGGUGAACACUGACACUGAGGUACGAAAGCGUGGGGAGCAAAGGGGAUUAGAUACCCCCGUAGUCCACGCCGUAAACGAUGCCAACUAGCAAUGGGGAGAGUCGACCCUCUCUGUUGCGAAGCUAACGCGUCAAGUUGGCCGCCUGGGGAGUACGGUCGCAAGACUA